UGCAGUCGAACGAUGAUGCCCAGCUUGCUGGGUGGAUUAGUGGCGAACGGGUGAGUAACACGUGAGUAACCUGCCCUUGACUUCGGGAUAACUCCGGGAAACCGGGGCUAAUACCGGAUAUGAGCCGUCCUCGCAUGGGGGUGGUUGGAAAGUUUUUCGGUCAGGGAUGGGCUCGCGGCCUAUCAGCUUGUUGGUGGGGUGAUGGCCUACCAAGGCGACGACGGGUAGCCGGCCUGAGAGGGCGACCGGCCACACUGGGACUGAGACACGGCCCAGACUCCUACGGGAGGCAGCAGUGGGGAAUAUUGCACAAUGGGCGAAAGCCUGAUGCAGCGACGCCGCGUGAGGGAUGAAGGCCUUCGGGUUGUAAACCUCUUUCAGCAGGGAAGAAGCGCAAGUGACGGUACCUGCAGAAGAAGCGCCGGCUAACUACGUGCCAGCAGCCGCGGUAAUACGUAGGGCGCAAGCGUUGUCCGGAAUUAUUGGGCGUAAAGAGCUCGUAGGCGGUUUGUCGCGUCUGGUGUGAAAACUCGAGGCUCAACCUCGAGCUUGCAUCGGGUACGGGCAGACUAGAGUGCGGUAGGGGAGACUGGAAUUCCUGGUGUAGCGGUGGAAUGCGCAGAUAUCAGGAGGAACACCGAUGGCGAAGGCAGGUCUCUGGGCCGCAACUGACGCUGAGGAGCGAAAGCAUGGGGAGCGAACAGGAUUAGAUACCCUGGUAGUCCAUGCCGU
Molecule: ribosomal RNA, 732 nt
Filed under: Cellulosimicrobium funkei
Lineage: Bacteria; Bacillati; Actinomycetota; Actinomycetes; Micrococcales; Promicromonosporaceae
Description: bacterial SSU rRNA
Rfam family: Bacterial small subunit ribosomal RNA
Source: RNAcentral